GAUGAAGAACGUAGCGAAAUGCGAUAAGUAAUGUGAAUUGCAGAAUUCAGUGAAUCAUCGAAUCUUUGAACGCACAUUGCGCCCCUUGGUAUUCCGAGGGGCAUGCCUGUUCGAGCGUCAUUAAUUCCACUUAAGCCCUGCUUAGUGUUGGGAAUCUACUCUAGUGGUGCUACCCUGGAGCUACCCCUGAAAGGGGGCUGGCCCGGUAGCUACCCUGUAGUUCCUCAAAGAUAGUGCGCGGAGUUGCGUGGUCCUCUGAGCUUAGUAACUAUACACCUAGCUUUUGAGUGUCCCGCGGCGCCUGCCGUUUAAACCCCAUCUUUUAAUGGUUGACCUCGGAUCAGGUAGGAAUACCCGCUGAACUUAAGCAUAUCAAUAAGCGGAGGA
This 387-nucleotide unclassified non-coding RNA is filed under the name soil metagenome. Its description in RNAcentral is "partial contains 5.8S ribosomal RNA, internal transcribed spacer 2, and large subunit ribosomal RNA". The stretch from base 1 to 120 matches the Rfam family "5.8S ribosomal RNA", at positions 35 to 154 of the family's 154-position model. The record is from RNAcentral.